Molecule: ribosomal RNA, 445 nt
Filed under: uncultured organism
Description: partial 16S ribosomal RNA
Rfam family: Bacterial small subunit ribosomal RNA
Source: RNAcentral
ACUCCUACGGGAGGCAGCAGUGGGGAAUAUUGGACAAUGGGCGCAAGCCUGAUCCAGCCAUGCCGCGUGAGUGAUGAAGGCCCUAGGGUUGUAAAGCUCUUUCACCGGUGAAGAUAAUGACGGUAACCGGAGAAGAAGCACCGGCUAACUUCGUGCCAGCAGCCGCGGUAAUACGAAGGGGGCUAGCGUUGUUCGGAUUUACUGGGCGUAAAGCGCACGUAGGCGGACUAUUAAGUCAGGGGUGAAAUCCCGGGGCUCAACCCCGGAACUGCCUUUGAUACUGGUAGUCUUGAGUUCGAGAGAGGUGAGUGGAAUUCCGAGUGUAGAGGUGAAAUUCGUAGAUAUUCGGAGGAACACCAGUGGCGAAGGCGGCUCACUGGCUCGAUACUGACGCUGAGGUGCGAAAGCGUGGGGAGCAAACAGGAUUAGAAACCCCGGUAGUCCC